Oreochromis niloticus (Nile tilapia) is the source of this 351-nucleotide long non-coding RNA. RefSeq lists it as uncharacterized. NCBI's taxonomy places the organism in Eukaryota, Metazoa, Chordata, Actinopteri, Cichliformes, Cichlidae. The transcript is spliced from 3 exons. The record is from RefSeq and is a predicted model, not a curated record.
CCGGAGGGGCUACUCGCUUUUCCUUUCUCUUUCGCCCCCACUUGCGCUACUGCUUUCUCUCUCUCUCGCUCUCCUGUGCUUGCUCCCGCUCCGCGCUUACAGGAGUCCACCUGUAUAUUGAUUACAGGGCGGCGUGUACCUGUAUAAAGGGAAGCCGGGUUUUCUCGUUGGAUUAUUUCCUCCCGAGCUUCUGGUGCGAUACAGCGGUAGACGCUGGCUUGUUGGUUAAAUUACUGAGGCGAUCAGGUCAUGUGAUUGCUACAGCCGUGGUGAGGAGACGCGUGAGUGCAUCCGCCGUGCAGUACAGUGCCUCCAAGUUCUGGGGGUUUGAUUGCUGCCGUGCCCUCUCGG